This 169-nucleotide small RNA is filed under the name Paenibacillus sp. Its description in RNAcentral is "c-di-AMP sequence". It matches the Rfam family "c-di-AMP riboswitch aptamer (ydaO/yuaA leader)". From Rfam's summary of the family: This family represents a conserved RNA structure found upstream of the ydaO and yuaA genes in Bacillus subtilis and related genes in other bacteria. RNAcentral also lists the same sequence under 1 other name. Lineage: Bacteria; Bacillati; Bacillota; Bacilli; Caryophanales; Paenibacillaceae. The record is from RNAcentral.
AUAUUAAGUAGGCCGAAACCUGAACUUGAGGUGCGGGGGACGAAAGAUGAAAACAGGGGCUGCCUAGCUGACUGUUUUCUUGGGGUGAAGCGUAUCGAAGCGAUGCGCCGGGAAUGAUCCUUUUUCCCGAAUCCGACAACUAACUCCGCAGGCGCAGUAAAAAGGAGGG